UACGGAGGGAGCUAGCGUUGUUCGGAAUUACUGGGCGUAAAGCGUCUGUAGGCGGCGUCGCAAGUCAGGGGUGAAAUCCCGGGGCUCAACCCCGGAACUGCCCUUGAAACUGCAAUGCUAGAAUAUUGGAGAGGCAAGUGGAAUUCCGAGUGUAGAGGUGAAAUUCGUAGAUAUUCGGAAGAACACCAGUGGCGAAGGCGACUUGCUGGACAAUUAUUGACGCUGAGGUGCGAAAGCGUGGGGAGCAAACAGG
RNAcentral lists this ribosomal RNA (253 nucleotides) under uncultured bacterium. RNAcentral's name for it is "partial 16S ribosomal RNA". It matches the Rfam family "Bacterial small subunit ribosomal RNA", at positions 524 to 776 of the family's 1533-position model. The record is from RNAcentral.